AGUGAACGCUGGCGGUAGGCCUAACACAUGCAAGUCGAACGGCAGCACAGGAGAGCUUGCUCUCUGGGUGGCGAGUGGCGGACGGGUGAGGAAUACAUCGGAAUCUACCUUUUCGUGGGGGAUAACGUAGGGAAACUUACGCUAAUACCGCAUACGACCUAUGGGUGAAAGUGGGGGACCGCAAGGCCUCACGCGAUUAG
Molecule: ribosomal RNA, 200 nt
Filed under: uncultured bacterium
Lineage: Bacteria
Description: partial 16S ribosomal RNA
Rfam family: Bacterial small subunit ribosomal RNA
Source: RNAcentral